CUAUGUGUUGUCACACACAAUUGCUGGGGUAGUUCAGCACUGUCCAAGUGACCCCCUGGGAGAGGACAACUGGAAAUGUAUGCCUGGUGUUUUCCUGGACCCCGACCUACGCAGCCUUUUCCUUGGCUAAUCCUAAUCUGUCUCCUUUUGCUGAAAUGAACCAUAAGCAUGAGUAUAACAGCUUUUCUGAUUUUUGUGAGUCCCUCAAGUGAAUCAUCAAACCUAAGGUAGUCUUGGGACCCCCAUCAAAGAGAGUCAAACAGGAACAGGGCAAGAAGAGCUUUUCCUGGAAGGCUAAUGAGUCUGAACUUCGCCCUGGAGGUAAUCGUUAGAGUAACUCCAGGCUCUAACCUGGAGCUGGCAUGACAAGGCCAAAUGUACACUUCUAGAAGAUACUUUGGACUGCACUGGGGAAUGAAUAGGGGAGCUGGGGGAGCAGAGCUGAAGCAGGGAGACCACGACCUAUGAGGAGACAGCUGAUCGAGUCCAGAAUCACAAGAAAGGCAUCAGCACCUUCUGUGAAAUGGGAGCCAGGAGGAGGAGAUGCCCAGGUGUCUAGGAGUCCAUGUCAGCUGCUGUCCCUCCACACCACCGAGCAGACAUCACAAAGAGUGGCUAGGCCUUCUGAGUGAAGGUGAUCCAACCUGUCACUAAGCCUAAGGGCAAAUCCUGGCUGUGCUGUGGUGACUCCAACAACCCCAAACAGCAGCUCAGAGGCUGCAGCCGCCCUCGGAGGCAUCACUGGGAAAUGCUCAUUAAGUAUUGCUCACCCGCCCCAUCCCAUCUCUGCGCAUCCCAAACCAUCAGCCAAGUGCACAGCUGGCUUCCAUCCUCAGAGCCUUCCUCCUUCAUUUGCCUAUUCAACAGUUACAAAGGCCUGAGCUGCAGAGGGGCCUUGAAAAACCCAUUCUACCCAGAAGAAAGAGAACUGAGAGUAAGCAAGACAGAGAACAGGUAGAAGCAGGGAGGAAAACAAGCCAUCUCUAGAUCUCAAAUGGGGACCCUGCUGUAGCAAGAGACUCUUCUAAAUCCUUUUCCAAUAGGGUAAUAUGGAAAAUGGUUGAAAGUACAAGCCAACUGGGGCUUGAAUCCCAAAUGGGCCAUUUACAGCUGUGUGACUGAACAAGUAAUUUCAUAUUUCUGAGCCUCAGUUUUCUCAUCUAUAAAAUAGAAAAAUACCUAUGUCGUAAGGUUAAGAUAUGGAUUAGAUGAGCUAAGAUCUAAAAUGUCUUCUAUUCAGUAAGUGCUCAAUAAAUGUUAUCUCUUUUUA
Molecule: non-coding RNA, 1270 nt
Organism: Saimiri boliviensis boliviensis (Bolivian squirrel monkey)
Lineage: Eukaryota; Metazoa; Chordata; Mammalia; Primates; Cebidae
Source: RefSeq, a predicted model, not a curated record